Molecule: ribosomal RNA, 411 nt
Filed under: uncultured bacterium
Lineage: Bacteria
Description: bacterial SSU rRNA
Rfam family: Bacterial small subunit ribosomal RNA
Source: RNAcentral
GUGUCAGCAGCCGCGGUAAUACGGAGGAUGCGAGCGUUAUCCGGAAUCAUUGGGUUUAAAGGGUCCGUAGGCGGGCUUAUAAGUCAGUGGUGAAAUCUCCCAGCUCAACUGGGAAACUGCCAUUGAUACUGUAGGUCUUGAAUAUUUGUGAAGUAACUAGAAUAUGUAGUGUAGCGGUGAAAUGCUUAGAUAUUACAUGGAAUACCAAUUGCGAAGGCAGGUUACUAACAAAUUAUUGACGCUGAUGGACGAAAGCGUGGGGAGCGAACAGGAUUAGAUACCCUGGUAGUCCACGCCGUAAACGAUGGAUACUAGCUGUUCGAUUUUCGGAUUGAGUGGCUAAGCGAAAGUGAUAAGUAUCCCACCUGGGGAGUACGCACGCAAGUGUGAAACUUAAAUGAAUUGACGGGG